Molecule: unclassified non-coding RNA, 237 nt
Filed under: Hevea brasiliensis (rubber tree)
Lineage: Eukaryota; Viridiplantae; Streptophyta; Magnoliopsida; Malpighiales; Euphorbiaceae
Source: RNAcentral
GGAAGUUAGGGCAAAGGCGGCGGAAAGAGUAGUGGAGAGAAAGGGGAAAAGUAAUGCUGGAAUAAAUGGACGUGGAGGGACAGGCGUGAACAGAAAAGACAGGAAGUGGAGGUGGGAAAGUGGAUACCGAAAAAAAUUUUUGAUUUGAACAGGACAUGUUUAAAACUGCAUAAGGGGAGAAUGGUGUGCAUAAAUUAUGCACUCUCUUAUGCAGGUUUUGGUGGAAGGUAAAGAGUG